UGGGGAAUAUUGCACAAUGGGCGCAAGCCUGAUGCAGCCAUGCCGCGUGUGUGAAGAAGGCCUUCGGGUUGUAAAGCACUUUCAGCGAGGAGGAAGGUGGUGAGCUUAAUACGCUCAUCAAUUGACGUUACUCGCAGAAGAAGCACCGGCUAACUCCGUGCCAGCAGCCGCGGUAAUACGGAGGGUGCAAGCGUUAAUCGGAAUUACUGGGCGUAAAGCGCACGCAGACGGUUUGUUAAGUCAGAUGUGAAAUCCCCGGGCUCAACCUGUGAACUGCAUUUGAAACUGGCAAGCUAGAGUCUCGUAGAGGGGGGUAGAAUUCCAGGUGUAGCGGUGGAAAUGCGUAGAGAUCUGGAGGAAUACCGGUGGCGAAGGCGG
RNAcentral lists this ribosomal RNA (378 nucleotides) under uncultured bacterium. RNAcentral describes it as "partial 16S ribosomal RNA". It matches the Rfam family "Bacterial small subunit ribosomal RNA", at positions 355 to 724 of the family's 1533-position model. The record is from RNAcentral.